Molecule: small RNA, 28 nt
Filed under: Bombyx mori (domestic silkworm)
Lineage: Eukaryota; Metazoa; Arthropoda; Insecta; Lepidoptera; Bombycidae
Description: ovarian small RNA-22510
Source: RNAcentral
UAGCUGAAAAUUUUCUAACGCCGUGUGC